This 468-nucleotide ribosomal RNA is filed under the name uncultured bacterium. RNAcentral's name for it is "partial 16S ribosomal RNA". It matches the Rfam family "Bacterial small subunit ribosomal RNA", at positions 28 to 507 of the family's 1533-position model. The record is from RNAcentral.
GACGAACGCUGGCGGCGUGCUUAACACAUGCAAGUCGAACGGAAAGGCCCUGCUUUUGUGGGGUGCUCGAGUGGCGAACGGGUGAGUAACACGUGAGUAACCUGCCCUUGACUUUGGGAUAACUUCAGGAAACUGGGGCUAAUACCGGAUAGGAGCUCCUGCUGCAUGGUGGGGGUUGGAAAGUUUCGGCGGUUGGGGAUGGACUCGCGGCUUAUCAGCUUGUUGGUGGGGUAGUGGCUUACCAAGGCUUUGACGGGUAGCCGGCCUGAGAGGGUGACCGGCCACAUUGGGACUGAGAUACGGCCCAGACUCCUACGGGAGGCAGCAGUGGGGAAUAUUGCACAAUGGGCGAAAGCCUGAUGCAGCAACGCCGCGUGCGGGAUGACGGCCUUCGGUUUGUAAACCGCUUUCGCCUGUGACGAAGCGUGAGUGACGGUAAUGGGUAAAGAAGCACCGGCUAACUACGUG